GACGAACGCUGGCGGCGUGCCUAACACAUGCAAGUCGUACGGGACCGGGGGCAACUCCGGUUCAGUGGCAGACGGGUGCGUAACACGUGAGGAACCUGUCCGGUGGCGGGGGAUAGCCGGCCCAACGGCCGGGUAAUACCGCAUACGCUCGUUCGGGGGCAUCCCUGGGCGAGGAAAGCAGCCGCAAGGUUGCGCCGACGGAGGGCCUCGCGACCUAUCAGCUUGUUGGCGGGGUAACGGCCCACCAAGGCGACGACGGGUAGCUGGUCUGAGAGGAUGACCAGCCACAUUGGGACUGAGACACGGCCCAGACUCCUACGGGAGGCAGCAGUGGGGAAUAUUGCGCAAUGGCCGCAAGGCUGACGCAGCGACGCCGCGUGUGGGAUGACGGUCUUCGGAUUGUAAACCACUGUCAGGGGGAACGAAUACAGGGCUUCGAUAAGGAGACCCUGGGUGACGGUACCUCCAAAGGAGCACCGGCUAACUCCGUGCCAGCAGCCGCGGUAA
Molecule: ribosomal RNA, 507 nt
Filed under: uncultured bacterium
Lineage: Bacteria
Description: bacterial SSU rRNA
Rfam family: Bacterial small subunit ribosomal RNA
Source: RNAcentral